CGCGCGUGUGCGCGGGCACUGCUCCCCCCCGCCCCUCGCACCGCCCCUCCUUGCAUAUGCAAAUCCGCCGGAGCGAGGAUGCUGCCGCCCCUUCCUCCCCUGCGGGCUCGGGUUCCCGCACACUUGGGCUCCAGCCCGUGAGAUGCCCCAGUGCCGCUCGUCUCCCUGCAGCAGCAGCAGCCGCCGCCGGAGCCCGGGCACCUUCCCCGCCUUCCCCCGCUCGGCGCCAGCCUGAGCCGCGCCGGGGGGAGCUGUCCCCUGCCCCGGCCCGCCCCGAGGGGAGCUUGGCGCGGGGCUGCCAUGGGCGCGGGGCUGGACGGCGCGGCUGCCCGCUGCGGGCUGGGACUGGGAUACUUACUGCAAAUGCUCGUGCUACCUGCCCUCGCCAUCCUCAGCGCCAGCAGCACCGGCUCCGCCGCGCAAGAUGUUGAUGUGUAGCUGGAGUCUGCUUUUAACACUGUCAGGAAGACAGGCUUACCACGUAACAAACAGGACAGUGUCGGCUCUUACAAUGCAAACAAAAUGGACUAAAAGUUUCAAGAAUGUCGAGUGGCCAUGGAUCCUCAACUUGAAAAAGCCUUGACAGGGCUUGAUUUUUUUCAGGAAGUCAUCAGCACCACCCCAUGAAAACCAGGUUCCUUUUUCUCAGGUGGAACACCCAGUCAGACUCAUUGGCCACUUUUGAAAGUCUUGUCUUCAUUCUCAAAUCCCUUUUGUAUUAAAUGUAUUCAUUCCUUAUAUCCAUUGACUCCUUCUGCACACUGUAUUUGUGUACCACUUAAUGGCUUCCAAGCAGGCAAAAGCAUACCCAACCACAGGAAUUACUUCACGUCCAAUGUAAUGACUGUAUGUGAAGUGGAGAGGGAUCUCUACAGUUGGAUCCAUCCUGCUACUGUGGGCACCUGGAAUGAUAGAAGCUUGGAGCUGGCCAUCCCUUAGACAUGUUGGGGCUCUUCUGCUGCUGCUGAAUGCUAAUUUCUAUACUGUUUCUCUGCCAUGUUAUAGCAUAUUUAUUUGGGACCAAGAAAAGACUUUUCUCGACCAAACUGUAUCCUGCAAAUGACAGUAACACCCACUCCAGUGGGUGCCACUGAAGAAGUACUGCAUAUGAUUUCUCUAUAAAUGAAGACGAUUCCAAAUUAUGUUCAGCUGUUUCAGAAACUGGCAUGAAAAGCCGGUUAGCAAGUCCUAAGUCAUAUUGGUUUCUAGUGGGUGACCCUCAGAAAACCUAAAUCUCCUCCUACUGCUACUGCAUAGGGCAGAAACCUAUGGUUUUGUGAUUGAUGCUAAAACCCAAGCUUCAUAUUAGUAAUUUUUGACAUUUGCAUGUGUUACAGUGUACGUUAGAACAGUCCUGACUCUUUGGAUUUGUACGCUGCAUAUGCCUUCUCAGACAUGCACACUUAUAGUUUGUAGAUAUGGA
RNAcentral lists this long non-coding RNA (1423 nucleotides) under Crocodylus porosus (Australian saltwater crocodile). RNAcentral's name for it is "lncRNA (ENSCPRG00005012765.1)". Lineage: Eukaryota; Metazoa; Chordata; Crocodylia; Crocodylidae. The record is from RNAcentral.